GUGCUUGCUUCGGCACACAUACAGUAAAGUUAGAAUGAUACAGAAAAGAUUAGCAUGACCUUUGCGCAAGGAUGACAUGCAGAGUCAUGAAGCAUUCCAUAUACGU
This 106-nucleotide small nuclear RNA is filed under the name Salvator merianae (Argentine black and white tegu). Lineage: Eukaryota; Metazoa; Chordata; Lepidosauria; Squamata; Teiidae. The record is from RNAcentral.